Molecule: long non-coding RNA, 213 nt
Organism: Arachis stenosperma
Lineage: Eukaryota; Viridiplantae; Streptophyta; Magnoliopsida; Fabales; Fabaceae
Exons: 3
Source: RefSeq, a predicted model, not a curated record
CUCCGGGCUAAGCCUCUACUGCCAGGAACGUCUCUGCUGCCACCGAGUCCCGCCGGCGCUGCUGUUAUUAGAUAUUCAGACCGCCGUUGUCGCCCAAAAGUUAUUGAUGGAGCUGCUGCUGGGCCGAUUUGAUGUUGCGGCUGCUUCAUUUUGUUAUUUCAGAGUUAGAAUCUGGUUUGAUUAUGCCGCUUGUAGCUGUUUCUACUUUCGAGA